This 497-nucleotide ribosomal RNA is filed under the name uncultured bacterium. Its description in RNAcentral is "partial 16S ribosomal RNA". It matches the Rfam family "Bacterial small subunit ribosomal RNA", at positions 28 to 507 of the family's 1533-position model. The record is from RNAcentral.
GAUGAACGCUGGCGGCGUGCCUAAUACAUGCAAGUCGAGCGAACGGACGAGAAGCUUGCUUCUCUGAUGUUAGCGGCGGACGGGCGAGUAACACGUGGAUAACCUCCUUAUAAGACUGGGAUAAUUUCGGGAAACCGUAGCUAAUACCGGAUAAUAUUCUGAACCGCAUGGUUCAAAAGUGAAAGACGGUCUUGCUGUCUCUUAUAGAGGGUUCCGCGCUGCAUUAGCUAGUUGGUAAGGUAACGGCUUACCAAGGCAACGAUGCAUAGCCGACCUGAGAGGGGGAUCGGCCACACUGGAACUGAGACACGGUCCAGACUCCUACGGGAGGGAGCAGUAGGGAAUCUUCCGCAAUGGGCGAAAACCUGACGGAGCAACGCCGCGUGAGUGAUGAAGGUCUUCGGAGCGUAAAACUCUGUUAUUAGGGAAAAACAUAUGUGUAAGUAACUGUGCACAUCUUGACGGUACCUAAUCAAAAAGCCACGGCUAACUACGUG